GACAGAGGUCCCGAGCGUUAGGCGGAAUCACUGGGCUUAAAGCGUGUGUAGGCGGAUUGGUAAGUACCUUGUGAAAUCCCACGGCUUAACCGUGGAACUGCUUGGUAUACUGCUUAUCUUGGGCCACUUAGGGGCUACCGGAACAAACGGUGGAGCGGUGAAAUGCGUAGAUAUCAUUUGGAACGCCAAUGGUGAAAACAGCUCGCUGGGGGUUUGCUGACGCUGAGACACGAAAGCCAGGGGAGCAAACGGG
Molecule: ribosomal RNA, 253 nt
Filed under: uncultured bacterium
Lineage: Bacteria
Description: partial 16S ribosomal RNA
Rfam family: Bacterial small subunit ribosomal RNA
Source: RNAcentral